RNAcentral lists this long non-coding RNA (251 nucleotides) under Eutrema salsugineum. Its description in RNAcentral is "long non-coding RNA (ESAL_LNC000035)". The record is from RNAcentral. Lineage: Eukaryota; Viridiplantae; Streptophyta; Magnoliopsida; Brassicales; Brassicaceae.
GGGUUCGCGUUGUUGUGGUGCUUCUCGGAGAAUGAUGAUGAUGAACAUCGGAAGGAGCUGAGUUUACACAGCCGCCGGCGAUUACUACUCCGUAAGGCGAAGGUCGGUGGUAGAGACGAGUGAAACGGAGGCUUGGAUUUGAAGGAAGGAGAUGGAGAUAACGAAGUCGAAGAAGGUGAAGAGACUGUGUGUGGAAGCGCCAUUGCAGAGGCGAAAUAAUCGAUGAACAGAAGAAGAAGAAGAUACAAAAC